RNAcentral lists this transfer RNA (73 nucleotides) under Prevotella sp. RNAcentral's name for it is "tRNA-Gly". It matches the Rfam family "tRNA". Rfam says of the family: Transfer RNA (tRNA) molecules are approximately 80 nucleotides in length. RNAcentral also lists the same sequence under 1 other name. Lineage: Bacteria; Pseudomonadati; Bacteroidota; Bacteroidia; Bacteroidales; Prevotellaceae. The record is from RNAcentral.
GCGGAAAUAGCUCAGUUGGUAGAGUACAACCUUGCCAAGGUUGGGGUCGCGGGUCCGAGUCCCGUUUUCCGCU